This 402-nucleotide ribosomal RNA is filed under the name Verrucomicrobiota bacterium. RNAcentral's name for it is "Verrucomicrobia bacterium partial 16S ribosomal RNA". It matches the Rfam family "Bacterial small subunit ribosomal RNA", at positions 355 to 776 of the family's 1533-position model. Lineage: Bacteria; Pseudomonadati; Verrucomicrobiota. The record is from RNAcentral.
UGGGGAAUUUUGCACAAUGGGGGAAACCCUGAUGCAGCGACGCCGCGUGAUUUAGAAGGCCUUCGGGUUGUAAAAAUCUUUUCUAUGGGAAGAAAAUGACAGUACCAUAGGAAUAAGGACUGGCUAAUUACGUGCCAGCAGCCGCGGUAAUACGUAAGGUCCGAGCGUUGUCCGGAAUCAUUGGGCGUAAAGGGUACGUAGGCGGGUAAGCAAGUUAGAAGUGAAAUCCUGUAGCUCGACUACAGUAAGCUUUUAAAACUGCUCAUCUUGAGAUAUGGAAGGGAAAGUGGAAUUCCUAGUGUAGCGGUGAAAUGCGCAGAUAUUAGGAGGAAUACCGGUGGCGAAGGCGACUUUCUGGCCAUAAUCUGACGCUGAGGUACGAAAGCGUGGGUAGCAAACAGG